RNAcentral lists this ribosomal RNA (595 nucleotides) under uncultured eukaryote. RNAcentral describes it as "bacterial SSU rRNA". It matches the Rfam family "Eukaryotic small subunit ribosomal RNA", at positions 21 to 549 of the family's 1831-position model. The record is from RNAcentral.
UAGCCAUAUGCUUGUUUAAAGGAUUAAGCCAUGCAUGUGUAAGUAUUAAUGAGAGUUUAAUAGUGAAACUGCGAAUGGCUCAAUAAAACAGUUAUAGUUUAUUCGAUGAUAUCGAGGUUAUUUGGGAAUAACCGCAGUAAUUCUGGGGCUAAUACAUGCUUAAAAGGGAAAUAUUUCAAAUUAAAAAAAGGAUAUUUUACCUGUAUUUAUUAGACUUGAAAAUCGGAAAAAGUAGAAAUACUUUUUUUAUACUGUAGUUGAUCAUAAUAACUCAAAGAAUUCUUAGCAAUAAGGAUUUGACAAACGAAUCGUAUGACCCUUUAGUGUUGACGAUAAAUCGUUCAAGUUUCUGACCUAUCAAUUCAAGAAGGUAGUGUAUUGGACCACCUUGAUUGUAACGGGUACGGAGAAUUAGGGUUCGAUUCCGGAGAGGGAGCCUGAGAAACGGCUACCACUUCCAAGGAAGGCAGCAGGCGCGCAAAUUACCCAAUCUCAAUACGAGGAGGUAGUGAAUAAAAAUAACAAUCCGAAGCUUUCAUUUGAAAGUUUUGGAAUUGGAAUGAGAACAAUGUAAAUACCUUAACGAGGAACAAUU